ACACAGGAGAGGAGGUGGUCCAGCGUUGAAUAGCUGCAGGACUUGUGAGGUGGCUGUCCGCUAGCACCACGGGACAAGUCUCCGACGGUCGUGGAAGCCGGAUGUGGUGCCGGCGAAUUCCAGGCAGUCACCCGUGAUCCCCGGGUCCGAGCCCGUCCAGCUCGGUGUGCGCACCCCCGAGUGCGGCCCGGGGAUCACGUAUUUC
This 205-nucleotide small RNA is filed under the name Pseudonocardia thermophila. Its description in RNAcentral is "Actinobacteria sRNA Ms_IGR-5". It matches the Rfam family "Actinobacteria sRNA Ms_IGR-5". Lineage: Bacteria; Bacillati; Actinomycetota; Actinomycetes; Pseudonocardiales; Pseudonocardiaceae. The record is from Rfam by way of RNAcentral.